UGCAGUCGAACGGAAAGGCCCUGCUUUUGUGGGUGCUCGAGUGGCGAACGGGUGAGUAACACGUGAGUAACCUGCCCUUGACUUUGGGAUAACUUCAGGAAACUGGGGCUAAUACCGGAUAGGAGCUCCUGCUGCAUGGUGGGGGUUGGAAAGUUUCGGCGGUUGGGGAUGGACUCGCGGCUUAUCAGCUUGUUGGUGGGGUAGUGGCUUACCAAGGCUUUGACGGGUAGCCGGCCUGAGAGGGUGACCGGCCACAUUGGGACUGAGAUACGGCCCAGACUCCUACGGGAGGCAGCAGUGGGGAAUAUUGCACAAUGGGCGGAAGCCUGAUGCAGCAACGCCGCGUGCGGGAUGACGGCCUUCGGGUUGUAAACCGCUUUCGCCUGUGACGAAGCGUGAGUGACGGUAAUGGGUAAAGAAGCACCGGCUAACUACGUGCCAGCAGCCGCGGUGAUACGUGGGGUGCGAGCGUUGUCCGGAUUUAUUGGGCGUAAAGGGCUCGUAGGUGGUUGAUCGCGUCGGAAGUGUAAUCUUGGGGCUUAACCCUGAGCGUGCUUUCGAUACGGGUUGACUUGAGGAAGGUAGGGGAGAAUGGAAUUCCUGGUGGAGCGGUGGAAUGCGCAGAUAUCAGGAGGAACACCAGUGGCGAAGGCGGUUCUCUGGGCCUUUCCUGACGCUGAGGAGCGAAAGCGUGGGGAGCGAACAGGCUUAGAUACCCUGGUAGUCCACGCUGUAAACGGUGGGUACUAGGUGUGGGGUCCAUUCCACGGGUUCCGUGCCGUAGCUAACGCUUUAAGUACCCCGCCUGGGGAGUACGGCCGCAAGGCUAAAACUCAAAGGAAUUGACGGGGCCCCCGCACAAGCGGCGGAGCAUGCGGAUUAAUUCGAUGCAACGCGUAGAACCUUACCUGGNNUUGACAUGGAUCGGGANUGCUCA
This 937-nucleotide ribosomal RNA is filed under the name uncultured Actinomycetes bacterium. RNAcentral's name for it is "bacterial SSU rRNA". It matches the Rfam family "Bacterial small subunit ribosomal RNA", at positions 56 to 1002 of the family's 1533-position model. Lineage: Bacteria; Bacillati; Actinomycetota; Actinomycetes. The record is from RNAcentral.